GCUGCGAGUGCCACAAACCCGCAAGGGUUGUAGCUGCAAAUCCAUCAGGUGUGAAAAUGUACGCCUUCACGUUGGGAGACGGCGAACGAAGCCGCUUCACACGCGAAACGGAAGAUCGCGCCGAUCGUGCUGGGGAAUGGGUGGGGAGCCAGUAAAAACGGUUGUGUGUUCAUACCUCAUCGAAACGAAGAAAAAUCAAAUCAAACCUAACGGUGCCACCGCCUCGGUCCGCGGGCGAAGCGAAAGCACGCGAGCUGAAGACGAUCUUGGGCUCUCAUAGACCAUCCCAUUUCGGAAAGCCUUUCACUGCUACCGGAGCGCGGUGGUCGGUGUUGCCCGGGCGAAGGCUAAUGUUAGACAAAGUGACGGCUGGUGCGGAACGUGCGAUUCAUUCACUCUGCUUCGACCACAGCCGGACGGGGUGUGUCGAUAACAAAAAUUACGUCUUUGCACCUGUGAAGUUAGUAGAGUACCAGAAGCAGAACUCUUUAUCGUAUGGUUAAGCAGUUUGAAAUUCUAGCUACUAUUCAUCGCAUUACACCAGUGCUAAAAAGAAAGGUUAUGAUAGCAACUUUCAGUGCGAUCCACAGGGAGAUUCAUCGGUAACACAAAAAAAAAGUUGCAAUUUGCUCUAACAGCGUGAUCACUCCCAUCGUUAACGAUUGUUUACAUUCCGUCCCGCGAACGCUGAAAUCAUUGCGGCAGUGGCACGCGGUAUGCCCGUACACGCGUUUUGUUUAACGAGCUACGAACGAGUAGAGCUGUCCAUUCAUAUGGGGCUCGGCGCCAAGUAACAUCAACAAUUCAUCGCGGGAAGGUCUUGCUUCCCAGCUCUUAUCAGCAUUGUUUAGGUAUUGGGUUUUCUCGGUUUACAUGAAUACAUACAGACAGACCUGUAACAAACACCGUUCUUACGAUGAUCACGAGGUAAUCAUCCACCAAAGUGUCAUUUCAGUUCUAAAUUCGUUAGUGAUUAAGGUUAAUUGGUACAAACGUUGUCGCAGUACGGCACGUACACACGAUGUUGCAGGAAAACGACAUUUAAUGUCAUAACAGAACGUACAUUAGGGCAGACCUUUUAGUUUUAUUCGAGGAAUUUACAUACGAGUUGUGAUAAAAAUAAAUUCUACCACAGUUUCUAGCAAAUGCAUGAAAAACAUAGAUCAAAAUAAUCUGCAAGAAACAAACCAGUGUUGAUGAUGAUUCCCGAGGCGAACAAAAGCGCGAUGGAAUCAACAAACACAUAUUCCCGGAUGCACAGCGAUGGUCUAAUUACAGUCUUCUUUCAACACCGGUACUGCGCGGUGUGUUGUGACUCACAGCCACCAGAAACGUAUACCAUGGAUAGGAUGAAAAACGCGAUCGGAAAUAACGUUCUGCGUCAGCGGGGUUAGCGCAAAUCACUUCAUCGAGGAAGCAUACUGGCGAAGAAAACCUGCUUGUUCUUACGGUUGUGCGAGAUAAAUAUUUUACUAGAAUAUAUUCCGCUAGGUAAGCGCCUCAUAGUAUAACAUUUUUUUUUCAAAGCCUCAAAAGUAUUUAUACGAAACAGUUGCAUUUUCAAUGUAAAUUCAUAAAAUCGAUAAAUAGAUUAAAUUAAGGGGCGGUCCCGUGGUACAGUCGUCAACUCGUACGACUCAAUAACAUGCCCGUCAUGGAUUCAAUCCUAGAAUGCACCGUCCAUCCAUAACAAAGGACUGACUAUCCGGCUGCGUUGUAAUGAAUAAAAUUUCGAAAGCCUCUGUAUAGGCCGGCAUGUCCACCUAGGACGUUACGCCAAAUAGAAGACGAUUAAAUCGAUUUCAUCAUCAUCUGAAUACAGCGAUUUGGGUUUAAUUUGCCAAUGGUAGACGCAAUGACGCUUUUACCGGACAGGACAGUAGGACAGCCUAUUGUUCCAGAUCUACUUCGUUAGCUUGUGAGAAAAGACGGCGUAUUGUA
Molecule: long non-coding RNA, 1941 nt
Organism: Anopheles merus
Lineage: Eukaryota; Metazoa; Arthropoda; Insecta; Diptera; Culicidae
Exons: 3
Source: RefSeq, a predicted model, not a curated record